Molecule: ribosomal RNA, 406 nt
Filed under: uncultured bacterium
Lineage: Bacteria
Description: partial 16S ribosomal RNA
Rfam family: Bacterial small subunit ribosomal RNA
Source: RNAcentral
AUUGAACGCUGGCGGCAGGCCUAAUACAUGCAAGUCGAACGAGUGGCGGACGGGUGAGUAAUGUCUGGGAAACUGCCUGAUGGAGGGGGAUAAUUACUGGAAACGGUAGCUAAUACUGCUUACCGUCGGUUGUGCCCAGACGGGAUUAGCUAGUGGUUGGGGUAACGGCUCACCUAGGCGACGAUCCCUACCUGGGCUGAGAGGACGCCCGGCCACGCUGGAACUUAGGCACGGUCCAGACUCCUACGGGAGGAAGCAGUGGGGAAUGGUGCACAAUGGACGAAAGCCGGAUGCAGCCAUGCCGCGUGUAUGAAGCAGGCUUUCGGGUUGUAAAGUUCUGUUGGCGGGGAUGCGGUACCCGCAGAGAAAGCACCGGCUAACUCCGUGCCAGCAGCCGCGGUAAUUC